Humulus lupulus (European hop) is the source of this 1308-nucleotide RNA transcript. RefSeq lists it as uncharacterized. The record is from RefSeq and is a predicted model, not a curated record. NCBI's taxonomy places the organism in Eukaryota, Viridiplantae, Streptophyta, Magnoliopsida, Rosales, Cannabaceae. The transcript has 9 exons.
GCUGUCGGCAUUGCCUUCAAAAAAUUUCAGGCCAUAAUAUAAAUUUUAAUUUCCCCCCACACCUCCCUUUUUCCUUCUUCCCUUUUUCAUUCUUUUUCCCUCUUCUUCCAACCGAAAACGUUCAACCUCUUUUUCGCACCGCCUGGAAAGAGUUUUCACACCAUCAUUUCUUCUUCUUCUUUCUUUGUGGAACCGCACACUCAGGGCUUCUUCUUCUUCUUCUGAUACUUUGCGCUGGGCAGUUCAAAUAAGAAGAGGAUAAUAUUUGGCUCACGCACAACAGCAUAUAGCUAUUCAGGCUCUUUGGGAUAAAACUAUUGAGCUCAGAUUUUUGCUUCAAAAAGCAAUCUAAAGUUCAAAUAGAUCAUCUCAGGAAAUCGGUCAACAUAUCUUCUAAUUUUCUAGCCUAGGCAUCUGUCACAAUCAACACCAACUAAAAAGAGAAAACAAGAAGAUAUUGAGGCGAUUAUACCUUCCACUCAACAUCCACAACCCCCAAAGCUUCCCUGUGUAGAGCCAUUGACACAGGAGGUAGUGUCAAUCUCUCACAAUGAUUUGACAUUUAUGUCAAGCAAUUUGACUUAUAUUUAUUGAAGUUUGGAUCACCAUGGAAUAAUGACUACCACAAGAAGAUUAAUAUCCCAUCGCAUGUGUUUUGGAUACAACAUGAUUCCUACGUUUUUCAAGGAUGAUGUGACAUAAUUUUACAACAUGGACAAGAUUAGGCAAACUCUAAUGAUAUUUAUAUUUGAGGUUGUUGGAUGAUAUACUAUGUACCAAUGGGUUGGAUCAUUUGUACGCAUUUCAGCAUCCAGGUGAAGUUAGUGUAGGUCAUGAGAAUAAGCGUGCCCAAACACUUAAAGAUCGAUUCAUUCAAAUGGGCGAGAAGCAGUUCCUUAUUUGUCCCUUGAAUAACAAUGAACAUUGGAAUAACAACCUCACUCACAUUCAGUGGCGUUCUUGGAUCCCAUUAACCAUCAAUUACGCAUUGAGAUUAAAAAUAUAGUUAGACUUGCUUUCAAGCUAUAUGAUACGGAAAAAGGAAAAAGAGUUAUAAGUCUAAAGUAUUAUAGUCCAAAAUGCCUACAACAACCAAAAACCACAGAGUGCGGUAUCUACUGCAUGAAGUAUGCUAGGGAUCUCAUUUCACAACAAAGAACCAGAGCAUAUCUAUCGAAUAAUAUAAUAAUUGAAUAUGCUUACAUUUUAACUUUAAUAAAGUUAUAUUUUAAUUAUAUAUUUGACUAAAAUUGAAAUUAUUUGUAGUUCAAUUCAGAUUUACUAUAUACUGACGCUGAACUUAAUGAA